RNAcentral lists this ribosomal RNA (505 nucleotides) under uncultured bacterium. RNAcentral describes it as "bacterial SSU rRNA". It matches the Rfam family "Bacterial small subunit ribosomal RNA", at positions 28 to 521 of the family's 1533-position model. The record is from RNAcentral.
GAUGAACGCUAGCGAUAGGCCUAACACAUGCAAGUCGAGGGGCAUCACAUGAAGUAGCAAUACGGAUGGUGGCGACCGGCGCACGGGUGAGUAACACGUAUGCAACCUGCCUUCAACAAGGGGAUAACCCGUUGAAAGACGGACUAAUACCCUAUAACACAGGGGUCCCGCAUGGGAAUAUUUGUUAAAGGACAACCGGUUGAAGAUGGGCAUGCGUUCCAUUAGCUGGUUGGUGAGGUAACGGCUCACCAAGGCAACGAUGGAUAGGGGAACUGAGAGGUUUAUCCCCCACACUGGUACUGAGACACGGACCAGACUCCUACGGGAGGCAGCAGUGAGGAAUAUUGGUCAAUGGACGCAAGUCUGAACCAGCCACGUCGCGUGAAGGAAGACGGCCCUACGGGUUGUAAACUUCUUUUAUACGGGGAAUAAAGUGCCCCACGCGUGGGGUUUUGCAUGUACCGUAUGAAUAAGGAUCGGCUAACUCCGUGCCAGCAGCCGCGGU